RNAcentral lists this transfer RNA (73 nucleotides) under Capra hircus (goat). It matches the Rfam family "tRNA". Rfam says of the family: Transfer RNA (tRNA) molecules are approximately 80 nucleotides in length. Their secondary structure includes four short double-helical elements and three loops (D, anti-codon, and T loops). The record is from Rfam by way of RNAcentral. RNAcentral also lists the same sequence under 1 other name. Lineage: Eukaryota; Metazoa; Chordata; Mammalia; Artiodactyla; Bovidae.
GCCUGGAUAGCUCAGUCAGUAGAGCAUCAGACUUUUAAUCUGAGGGCCCAAGGUUCAUGCCCCUGUUCAGGCA